Molecule: long non-coding RNA, 4546 nt
Organism: Falco peregrinus (peregrine falcon)
Lineage: Eukaryota; Metazoa; Chordata; Aves; Falconiformes; Falconidae
Exons: 3
Source: RefSeq, a predicted model, not a curated record
UACAAAUCUGAAAGAGGCAGAUUCCUUUUUCUUUGGUUGUCUUAAAAAAAUGACUUUGGAUUUUUUCUAAAUGUUAAUUUAUUUUUUUUUUAACUGUGGCUUGAUUCUUUUGUCUUUGAAUAAUUCCAGCCUUGCCAUUUACCGAGUUCUCUUCUAAAUUUAGAUUAGAGUGUUACUCGCUUUCACAAGAAGUGCUAAUAUCCCUUAGGUUAAGGAUAAUUAGAUGUUAAUUUUCAAAACCUGAAAGGAAAUUAUACCUCUAAUUCAUCAUUUAGAAUAAAAUAGCUGGUUUAAAAGGCAUACAUAGCUACAUUAAACAAAGGUCUAGCCAUUUUUUUUUCCUAAACAAAAAUUAACCUCAAUACAAAUUAAGAUGAUAUGAUUCUAGUUAGAUUAAUGACACCAAUUAGGCUAACAGGUUUCUAAAGCUCCCUGAGAUCAUGGGAGAAGAAGGCAGAAGAUCAUCAAAUGCAAAGCAGCGAAUGUCUCCAGCGUUAACCCCUUCACGGCAGCCGAACUUGCUCCCCACUGAUGAGCUGCUGACAACUUGCUCUUCCCCCCAAAAAACUCAGGAGCUGGGUUGGCUCCAUUGGCAUGAGAAAAAAUUAUCCGAAAGGAACUGGGGAGCCUUGGCUGUAUGAAACAAGGGCAAGAAGACUACGCAGUUGGCCGACUACGGUGACCAACACGUUUCACGUGAAAGGAUAAUUUUGCUGGGUUGGACUUAGAUGUUUCCUUGGUCUUCUCAGGUAUUUGCAAACAUUUUCUGCUGAUGUUUCUCAGGCUGAAGUUCUCCAGACCUCCCUACUGAUGUCUGCUUAGCCUGCUGCGGCAUCUCCAGCCUGCUGCGACACCUUUGCAGAGCCUCCCGUUGCAUGUAGCUAUUCAGGGUGAGCCUAUAGCUGCCUACAGGAGCCUAUACAUGCCUCAAGCAAGAGGAAGGGAGAUCUUCCUCCCCAUAUGUUGCCGUUACUGCCUGUGGGAUCAGAAAACCUGGCAGCAAAGCUCAUGGCUCUGAACUGCCGGCGUAAAUUGGUGGUCCCAGUGCUGACAGUGGAGCAAUAAACUGGUGUAAAAUGGGAGGGCAAAGAGAUGGGGGGGGCAGUUCCCUGCCUCCCCUGACUUUUUCAGGAGUUGGAGUGGCAUUGCUUUCUCUUCCCAGCUGUGCUGUCAGACCUUCAGACCCCAACUUUGCUUUCCGACUUGCAGACUCGAGAAGACCACAAGAUGGCAAGGCUGCACCGAACGUGCCCGCGACAGCUACUGCGGGUGCAACAGGUGUUUAUUGGCCAAUUCGCUGUUUGCCACCUGCUUCGACAGAGCCUGAAUUGUAUUUUUAUACAUAGCUUCCAGCAAAAAAAAUGUCCCCAGUGAUGUGAACACUGGCUUCUGGAGUGUUUAGGCACGAUCCCUUUGCAGCACCGGGAAGGGGCAUAUGAUUCUUAUGAGUUCUCUGGAGCCUUUCAAUAUACCCAGAUCCAUAUGUAAAUAUAGCUUGAGAUGAGAUUUAUAUUCAGCUAUUUCCCGGUGAAGCCAACAGACACUCGCAGGCAUGUUACAAAUGAAACAACAACCCAACCAAGCCUUGUAAUUUAAUUUAACUGCCUCUUUUUGGGUAUGUGUCAUGCAUUCAGAAUUAGACAACUGAAUUCCCAAUCAAGUGUUCUUUGGAUAUAACAACAUAGUGAAAGGCAUAAAAGUGCCUUAAAAUAGCUUGCUAACGACCACGUGGAACCUAUUCUUUUGGCAAAAGGAGGACGCAAUUUAUGGGUCUGGACUCAGUACUCAUAAAUAAGUACAUGUUCCUUUUUCUUUGCAUUGGCACGUUUUUGGCUUUUCAGAUUCACCGUGCACUUUAUAAAUUCUCAUAUAACUAUGCAGGCAGUCGAUGGGAAUGCACAGGCUUGUUCUGGGGACUUGAAUUUAUCCCCUUUGAACCGUCUGACACAAGUUCUCUGUUAGCCUUGCAAGGAAAUUCCUCUUGGGCUGGGUUUGCAAAGUUUUCCUGCAAAUCCUGUUCUGCUUUAGCAUCCUGAGACCAGACAAGCUGCUUGUUUUACUGAACCUGUUCUGAAUAUUGUUUUCCUUAACGGCAGCAGUUAAAGGGAACAGUAAUUUUAGUUUCUUGCCUCCACAUCUUGUGAUAUUUGGUAGCAGCAAAAUGCCUUUCUUGGAGUAGGUAAGUAGUAGUGUUGAGUCUGGAGUGGAGGAAGGACAGGCAGAACAGAAGAAACACAGUCUGGUGAUUAAAUGCAGCUGCCUCGGUGGUGCCUGAACUGAGCACUGAAAAAAACAGGCUGAAGAGAUCUUGUAUUCCGUGAUUAUGCUCCGGUGGGAUUCUGCAGGAUUAAUACUGAAAGUGAACAAGGGUCAAUUUUCUGAAAGUGUAGAGAAAUGUAAGACCGACGGAAUAGGAAUAGGAAUAGAAGUAGGAAUGGGAGUAAGAGUAAGAGCAGGAAUAGGAAUAAUAAUAACAGUAGAUGAUAAUAAUGAUAACAAGGGUCAGUUUUCUGAAAGUGUAGAGAUAUGUAAGGUCAAUGGAAUAGGAAUAGGAGUAGGAAUGGGAGUAAGAGUAGGAGUAGGAAUAGGAAUAUUAAUAACAAUGAUGAUAAUAAUGAUAAUAAUAAUGAUAACAACAACAACAACAAUACUAAUAAUAUUAUUAAUAAUAAAUCAUCAUCAUCAUCCCCAAACCAAAUAAACCCAUCCCUCUCUGAGAUGGAUCUCUCUCUGGGUUUUUGACAAUUUUAAUUUGAGGUCGGUUGACGCGCUGGAUAGUGUAAUAUGUAAUGAAAAGGCUGGUUUCUGUAAAAAAAUCCACCAUAUGUUAAAACCUCUGCAGUGGGUGUGAGGACUUAAAAGCUUGAAUACAAACAAAAAGCUGCAGGGUUUGGGUGUGUUUUAGGAAAAGGUGGCUUUUUAUAGCGUUGUCUGUCUUCUCCCUGCGCGCCAGAACAUCUCUUUCAGAAACAGCUUUCAGAAGGGGAAGCAGCUCCCCAUGAGAUCACCUGUCCGUUAUUCCUUUGGAGUGCAGGUACGGGAUACAGUUGGACUGGGCAUCCUCAGACUAUGAAAACCACUGAAAGAAUUCCACCCUUUUCCAAAAUAGCUGAUUUUCUCUAAUUUUUAGGAUUAAAACUAAAUUUAAAAAAAAAUGUUCGAAGGGGUUUGUUGUCUUUUGCCUAGGGUGGGGGUGGAAUUAGUGACCCCUGGGUUUGAUAAUACUGCCUGUAACCAACAGAUUGGUUUUCUCCUCCCUUUUCCAAGUGCUCAAGGAAAGAAAUGCUUUUAAAACCAAAGACUCCCUGGUAAUACUCUUCCUGCAUGCCCCCUCCUCCACUACAUCUCCGGAUAUAGCACCAUUAGUUUGAGAUUUUUAUGACUCUCAGGGGAAACGCAGAACAUUCCUGAAACUGAAGUAGCAUUUUGGAGUCCCUGAGCCGGAGUUCAGACAGCGCGGUCUCUCUCAAGGAUAAAUCAUGGAAGCUGCCAACACAGGGGAGAUGUGGUUUAAGAGGCAUGGGGACAAUAAACAUCAAUACUAUUACUAGAUUCACUAAUAAAUAGUAAAUGUUUCACCUCAAAGUAGCGGAGUGUGAUUUCCAGCAGCAACUUGAUGAUAAAGAAGCGUCACGACUGAAGGUAAAGAGUGUUAACAAAAAACUGACUUGUCACGAAGGCUUCAUUUGCUGCCAGCUGCCUCCAUCCCAGCAGCUAUAAUGAGAAAAAAAACGACCAGUAAACGAACAGGCAGCAGCUCUUCAGCCUUAUGUCAACACCAACCAACACAAUGCGAUGGCGGAUGUUAAUAAAAAAAGACUAUUGAGUAGUAAAAAAAAGUCAACCAAUGAAACAAAACAAGCUCUGGUACCACAGAGCCUUAGCUGGGCUGAAAAGCUGCCGUGGAUUUCAUGGAGUAGGAGAGGAAUUUCUGCAGUUUUCAUCCCUGAAGAGCUGUUAUGGUUAAAAAGUCAGGGGUGUUUGAGAGGUAUUUGAGGGGAGGGAAAUACUGUGCUAGGCAGAGAAUGCGUUGCUGUGUCCGUAAACACUUCACUCCUCUAAAUUAUUGCUGCUGGGUAGGUUAACACGAACACUGGGCAGAAGGUGGGUUUAGCGUUCAGCAUCAUGGGUUGUUACCUCCUAGCUGUCACCUCCCCUUUCCACCAUAUAGGCUGGCACUAAUACUAUAUAUGUUAUAUGUACCUAAGCCUGCCCAGCCCUAGGUGCUCUCCUGGCAAACCCGUUUUCUGUGAGCUGAAGCGUGUGCAGCUGAUGAAGGAAAAUGAAAUGUGAAAACACCGUCUCCUCAGCAUCGCUCAGCAGGGGACUUGUCACUGGUGAAGAAGCAGGAUGCAGCUGCAAAAUCCCCAGUUUUCCACAGCCUUGGCCAGCUCCAUCAGUGGCGAUCUGCUGCUGAAAGGAAAAUCAGGAGUGAAGAAAAAAAAGUCUGGAAUCUGCAAAAUCAGGUUAAGGAGCCAAAGGCCUCCUGCUGGUGAGCUGUGCUGGAGCUGCCGGGGUUCCUUGGUGACUGGCUGCUCAGUAUGGG